This 1950-nucleotide long non-coding RNA is filed under the name Homo sapiens (human). Lineage: Eukaryota; Metazoa; Chordata; Mammalia; Primates; Hominidae. The record is from RNAcentral.
CUCUCUAGUUGGGGUGCCUGUGAAACCGGCAGGCUCUCUCCAAAUGCCUGGAUUCUGCUGGGGGAGUAAGAAGUCAGGAGUAGUUUGUCUGAUGGUAUUGGGAUCUGCUUUGCAAUUGCCAAGCGCUAAGGCACAAGCUGGCAGAUGUGCUGCGGCUCUGCUACGGGCGGCUCUGUCGCCUUCAGUCGCAGGCUGGUUCUUUGGGGGAAAGUUGUAUCCAAUAUUGGUGACUCCCGGGAAUAGUCUGUUUGUGUGCUACUUAAUGGUCUCUAGGCUUCCUUGUCUUGUAGAACCUUGUUAGAAAGGAGCCUUGGUGAUUAAGAGGCUAUGGAGUACACAGCCUUGCUUAGCAGAUGAGCCCUUAUCCAUUUCCCGUUUCCUUAAAAACGGCUAAUUGAUGGAUGCUGCAGAAAACAUGCACUCUGCUAAUAAGAUGCUGAUGACAAAAUAGGUAUCAGGAAAGGCAUUUACUGCUUAUGAGCACCAUCAGCUUUCUUUCGAGUGAGAUUGUGGCUUUGUAGUAAAGUUUUUUUUUAAGUAAUAUGCUAAUAGUUUUAUUCUAAAUCGGCCAGCGCUGAAUAUCUUCAGGAAAAUGGGUUCCAUGAGAAGUGACAUCCUCCUCGAAUCAAAAGAUUCUCAGGAUGAUGGAGUGAGUGAUGGAAUAGGUUGCCAACUGUAGUUACUCCACUCAGCACAGAAUGGCUGCGGGGAAAUAUAAUCAGACAUGCCCAAAGAAGUCUGCUUAGGGUGAAACAAAUACCUUUGAGGUUUAAAUCAGAAAGGAAGGAGAGACUGUUUCUACAGGUGUCAUACAAAAAUCAAUACUGAGCCAAGGAUUAUUGGAUCCCAUAGAACCACGGAGACUUGGUAGUGAAAUUCUUCCAAAGGCAGAUGGUGUUCCUAGGUUUGGAAAUAUAAAUCCCAUGGGAAGUCAGCUGAAGACCAUUUUAUGCAUCACUCAUCCUGUUAGAGCCCUGUGCUGUUCUGUCUCUCUAUAAGACUGGCUGAAACCACCACGGUUGUUUACAAUUUAUGCUCUAACUUUGGAUCACCUAGUUAAUACUCUAACUCCGAUUAUUACCAAAGACAAUGUUCUAUAAAAGAUAUUGUCUAUUAGAAGGAUGCUUCUGCAUUAUUAAUAAAAUCACAGGGAAAAUGCAACAUUUUGGAUGUCACAUCUGAUAAGUUGGCAGUUAAAGAACAGAAACAGCAAUAAGACUGCGUGGCUACAUUUUCCCAGUGCCACCAACUGGGAUUUAAGCUGACUAACAUUUUGAAAGCCCAGCCCAUUUCAUUCACAGCAGGAUGGCAGUGGGUGACUGAUCGUACCCGCCAGCUGGCUAAUGUCAUAAUUAACAAAGUUGCUACUACAUCUGCAAAGUUUAAUCGAAAAAUUUGCCAGUGAUAUGAUGGCCUUGUCACAGAGAUCACAAGGGACACGGAGUUGACUUUUGCUCAAGGUGGAACGACAGAGCUGUGUAGGCAAGAUGAGAAAUUGCGAACUUGUUCGGCCAAAGGAGGCUAAUAAUGAAGGGGCCGGGAAGGAGGCCAGUGCUACCAGGGUUAUCUCACAACCUCAGAUGCUGGAUAAGUCGACGGAGGCAGAAUCGCUUUGGGAUGACAUUCAGAAAGCCUGGAGUGAUUACUUGCAAGAGAAAAGCCUACCUAUUCUUUCCAAGGUGCAGGAAUAUUCCCCUGACCUGCUCAUCCAGUGGUCCAGUAAUGAAUUACUGGAGACCUGCCUUAGACAAAGAAUGCACUCGGAGCCCCAACACACCUAAAGCCAUGCUUUGAAGGAUCUGCCAAGCUCACUUUUAAUCAUGAGAAAGAAAUUACCCACACGGAGUCAGCAGAAAAUGAGAAAGUAGAGCUCGUGCUGUGAAUAAUUCCAGCAAGUGCCAAGGGGCUAGUUGAGGAAUGGCUUCAUGAGAUCAAACACUAGCUGAAUUG